UGACCUAGCCGGCGGACGGGUGAGUAAUACUUAGGAAUCUGCCUAUUAAUGGGGGACAACAUCUCGAAAGGGAUGCUAAUACCGCAUACGCCCUACGGGGGAAAGCAGGGGAUCACUUGUGACCUUGCGUUAAUAGAUGAGCCUAAGUCGGAUUAGCUAGUUGGUGGGGUAAAGGCCUACCAAGGCGACGAUCUGUAGCGGGUCUGAGAGGAUGAUCCGCCACACUGGGACUGAGACACGGCCCAGACUCCUACGGGAGGCAGCAGUGGGGAAUAUUGGACAAUGGGGGGAACCCUGAUCCAGCCAUGCCGCGUGUGUGAAGAAGGCCUUAUGGUUGUAAAGCACUUUAAGCGAGGAGGAGGCUCUUUUGGUUAAUACCCAAGAUGAGUGGACGUUACUCGCAGAAUAAGCACCGGCUAACUCUGUGCCAGCAGCCGCGGUAAUACAGAGGGUGCGAGCGUUAAUCGGAUUUACUGGGCGUAAAGCGUGCGUAGGCGGCUUUUUAAGUCGGAUGUGAAAUCCCCGAGCUUAACUUGGGAAUUGCAUUCGAUACUGGGAAGCUAGAGUAUGGGAGAGGAUGGUAGAAUUCCAGGUGUAGCGGUGAAAUGCGUAGAGAUCUGGAGGAAUACCGAUGGCGAAGGCAGCCAUCUGGCCUAAUACUGACGCUGAGGUACGAAAGCAUGGGGAGCAAACAGGAUUAGAUACCCUGGUAGUCCAUGCCGUAAACGAUGUCUACUAGCCGUUGGGGUCUUUGAGACUUUAGUGGCGCAGCUAACGCGAUAAGUAGACCGCCUGGGGAGUACGGUCGCAAGACUAAAACUCAAAUGAAUUGACGGGGGCCCGCACAAGCGGUGGAGCAUGUGGUUUAAUUCGAUGCACGCGAAGACCUUACCUGGUCUUGACAUAGUAAGAACUUUCCA
RNAcentral lists this ribosomal RNA (920 nucleotides) under Acinetobacter bereziniae. Its description in RNAcentral is "bacterial SSU rRNA". It matches the Rfam family "Bacterial small subunit ribosomal RNA", at positions 87 to 1002 of the family's 1533-position model. The record is from RNAcentral. Lineage: Bacteria; Pseudomonadati; Pseudomonadota; Gammaproteobacteria; Moraxellales; Moraxellaceae.